This 253-nucleotide ribosomal RNA is filed under the name uncultured bacterium. RNAcentral describes it as "partial 16S ribosomal RNA". It matches the Rfam family "Bacterial small subunit ribosomal RNA", at positions 524 to 776 of the family's 1533-position model. The record is from RNAcentral.
UACGUAGGUGGCAAGCGUUGUCCGGAUUUAUUGGGUUUAAAGGGCGCGUAGGCGGCCUUGUAAGUCAGUGGUGAAAUACUCCAGCUUAACUGGAGGGGUGCCAAUGAUACUGCAGGGCUUGAGUACAGAUGAGGUAGGCGGAAUUGACGGUGUAGCGGUGAAAUGCAUAGAUAUCGUCAAGAACACCGAUAGCGAAGGCAGCUUACUGGGCUGUAACUGACGCUGAGGCACGAAAGUGUGGGGAUCAAACAGG